CUUCUAGUCUGCUCCUCCUCUCUAAUCCUUUGUCCCUGGGUGAGAAUGCUAUUUCUAUGCAAUGCACUCAGGCAAGGAUUUGGAGAGGGUGAGGCUGAUCUACAUAGAG
Molecule: microRNA precursor, 109 nt
Filed under: Nannospalax galili (Upper Galilee mountains blind mole rat)
Lineage: Eukaryota; Metazoa; Chordata; Mammalia; Rodentia; Spalacidae
Description: microRNA 501 (ENSNGAG00000009956.1)
Rfam family: mir-500 microRNA precursor family (bases 11-94)
Source: RNAcentral